This 322-nucleotide long non-coding RNA is filed under the name Monodelphis domestica (gray short-tailed opossum). RNAcentral's name for it is "lncRNA (ENSMODG00000043654.1)". The record is from RNAcentral. Lineage: Eukaryota; Metazoa; Chordata; Mammalia; Didelphimorphia; Didelphidae.
AAUGAAGAUGCAAAACAAGCAAACUCAGCAAAAGAAAGAAUCUAGCUGCCUUCAAUGGGUUAGAUUUCCCAGGUCUAGAAAGAGGAAGUAGAGUAGAAGACCUUCCUAUCAGCUUGCUGAUAAAUUGCCAGCCCCCCUGGCUUACUAAUUCUGGAGUAAGAAACAGUUAGUGAAAGGCAGCUCCAAAAAGAGUGACCACUGGAAGCAAAGAAGAGAGCCAAAUAUGGAUUCAAGACAGUUAGGAGUCGAGUUGUGAAAAGAAACAAGCCCAGGUAGCCUGGAUGAACUGUCUGCCCAACAGAGAUGCUGAACCCAGCCUAAG